This 324-nucleotide ribosomal RNA is filed under the name Colossendeis stramenti. RNAcentral's name for it is "partial 12S ribosomal RNA". Lineage: Eukaryota; Metazoa; Arthropoda; Pycnogonida; Pantopoda; Colossendeidae. The record is from RNAcentral.
UAUUUGUAUAUCAUUAAAUUUAAAAGAUUUGGCGGUAAAUUAUUUAAUUAGAGGAACUUGUUUUGUAAUCGAUACUCCACGUUUAAUUUUUCCUGUGCUUGUUGAUCAAUUUAUAUACCGUUGUUUAUGAAAAUUUUUAUUGAAUUUAAAUUUUCCUAUUAAAUUUUUUAGUAAAAUCAAGUCAAGGUGUAGUUUAUGCAUAGGUUUAUAAUGAGUUACUAUUAUAAAUAAUAGUAGAGUAUAUUUUGAAAUUUAAUUUAUGAAAAAGGAUUUAUUAGUAAUAAGUAAUUAAAUAGUAUUUAUGAAUUAUAUACUAAUUUAUGU